CCGGAGCUUGCUCCACCGGAAAAAGAGGAGUGGCGAACGGGUGAGUAACACGUGGGUAACCUGCCCAUCAGAAGGGGAUAACACUUGGAAACAGGUGCUAAUACCGUAUAACAAUCGAAACCGCAUGGUUUUGAUUUGAAAGGCGCUUUCGGGUGUCGCUGAUGGAUGGACCCGCGGUGCAUUAGCUAGUUGGUGAGGUAACGGCUCACCAAGGCGACGAUGCAUAGCCGACCUGAGAGGGUGAUCGGCCACAUUGGGACUGAGACACGGCCCAAACUCCUACGGGAGGCAGCAGUAGGGAAUCUUCGGCAAUGGACGAAAGUCUGACCGAGCAACGCCGCGUGAGUGAAGAAGGUUUUCGGAUCGUAAAACUCUGUUGUUAGAGAAGAACAAGGAUGAGAGUAACUGUUCAUCCCUUGACGGUAUCUAACCAGAAAGCCACGGCUAACUACGUGCCAGCAGCCGCGGUAAUACGUAGGUGGCAAGCGUUGUCCGGAUUUAUUGGGCGUAAAGCGAGCGCAGGCGGUUUCUUAAGUCUGAUGUG
This 544-nucleotide ribosomal RNA is filed under the name uncultured bacterium. RNAcentral describes it as "bacterial SSU rRNA". It matches the Rfam family "Bacterial small subunit ribosomal RNA", at positions 73 to 596 of the family's 1533-position model. The record is from RNAcentral.